Lactuca sativa (garden lettuce) is the source of this 562-nucleotide non-coding RNA. NCBI's taxonomy places the organism in Eukaryota, Viridiplantae, Streptophyta, Magnoliopsida, Asterales, Asteraceae. The record is from RefSeq and is a predicted model, not a curated record.
UCGGACUACCAAGCCAAGUAUCAUCACAAAAAGUGGUAGCAUGGAUUAUGUCAACAUGAUUAAGAGCAAACCAUCUAUAUAUAUUCAAGGUGUUCGACCUUAUGGAGCUUGGUGCUAUUAUAUAUGGGUUCAAUAACAACUUUAAAGUUUUGGGAAGCGAAGAGAAAGCUCCCAACGUGGCCAGACCCUCAACAAUUUCUGGCGUUUCAUUAAGAAUUAAUUUUAAUUUUAUUGGGUUCUUCAUUCGAUCGAAGUCGAACAAUAGGAACUGGUGCUUAUAAGCUGAAGGUCGUUUCAAAAGCAAUUUGCCUUCACUCUAUGAAUUUCAAAUCUUAUUGUAAGUUUUUUUAAUUUCAUUUCUGAAACUUGGUUCAAUGGUCUUAUGUGAUAUAUUUUGGUUAUCAAAAGUCGGUUAUUUAGAAAUUGGUUGGGAGUAAGUAGUAAUAGAAAAGAACGAGCUAAAAGGAUAAAAGUUUUAAAGAAUCUAAAAGUCCCUUGUUAUGACAGCUUCCUGUAUUCAUAGGUUUAUGCUGAUAUGGACUCAAAACAUGCUUUUUGAAGA